This is a long non-coding RNA of Glycine soja, 2897 nucleotides long. RefSeq lists it as uncharacterized. The record is from RefSeq and is a predicted model, not a curated record. The transcript is spliced from 3 exons. NCBI's taxonomy places the organism in Eukaryota, Viridiplantae, Streptophyta, Magnoliopsida, Fabales, Fabaceae.
UGAGUCAUACCCACUGAGAAUCCGUAUGAACCCUUACGCAUACGGAUUAUCAUAGGCGAGAACAAUGUUGAAAUUGUCAAAAAUCUGUUAGUGUUAGGUGUAAAAGAAAAAGGAUGAUUGCAGGAACCAAACGCCCCUUUUUUCACUUCAACUCUGUUUUGUGUUGCAAAAACAAAGCAAAUAAACCCUAAUUGCGGUGUAAAACCCUAGGAGGAAGUGGGAGAGGAAGGAUGAGACCUUUGGACGAGAAGGAGACGAGCACAGUGUUCGAUCCAUCUUAUGAAAUUACAUUAUCUUCUGUACCUCCUUUGAAGUUGCUUAUCAGAUUCCUUUGGGUUGCAAUUUUCUGUUUUGAGGAGUGGUUAUUUCAAGGGAAAGUAAAGUAAUUAGCGAGGGACUCGUUUUGUCUUUACUUUGUUAUUUUCUAGUUCCAUUUAAAGAUAAAAACAUACAUGAAUUGAAAAGUGGAUAAAAUGAACGAUUUCAUGCUGGCCAUAAGGGCAUCUCAGUUUUACGUGUAUAUGGUUAGCUGUGUUUUAAUGCCAAGUUGGAGAGUCUAUUUUAUACGUUUGGAUGGAUUAUCAUGGGACCUUGCGAUCAUUGUUAUUGUUUUUAUUAACAUUUUUGUAAUUUUCUCGGCCUAGGAGUGUGAAUGAACGGGCAGAAUGUGUUUAAACUUGGCCUUUCCAUGUUGCUGUUAUAUGGUGUUAAGAUAAAAUGAAACUUGUAUUGAGAGAGAAAAUGAUUACUAGAGGUGAUAAGUCUCUGUUUAAGAACCUAUAUAUACCAGAGACUCAGCCAAGAGUUAGUUAUAACUCUCUGAAACUAGGUUGUUACAGUUGGCACUAAACUAUUACAGAAUAGUGAAGGAAUAAUACGCUCACAGAUGGAGAUCAAAUUAUAAUUAUGAUGUUUUUAUCAACGGGGGUUGUUGGGUUUUGCAACAGGGGCUAGUUUCUUGUAAUGUGGUGAAUUAAGGUUUAAAUCUCCUUUAGGAGAGGUGCCCAUUUAAUGUCUGACUGUAUCUAAGAACAUAAUUGCCACCAAAAGAGGAGAACUAAAUAUAAUGUUUUUACUGGCCAUGUGCUGUUUCCAUUCUUUUUGUCAUCUGUUUGUUUCAGCCUUUUACUACUUCAUUCAGUAAAGUGUUAUGCUAAUAAUCAGAUCAAUAUUGCUGCCAGGGUUCCCCAAGAUCUUGUAACGACGGGAGGGAAGUGCAUGCUCUUAAAAUGGGUAACAGGAUUCUUUUUUGCUAUUUGGCAAGCUUACAUCUUAUGCUCACUCCUUCCCCCCCAUUUGGCCAUUCUAUGUCUGUUAAAAUCUGUGUAGUUUCUUUUUUCUAAAACUUUCUCGCAGUCAUACUUGCCAGUUUGAAAAUGAAGACAACUCUUUAAUCUUUAACAAAGGGUUUUAGCUAAGUUGGUUAUUUCCUAUAAAGGAUAUCUUCUUACUCUGCUACUGUAUUGUGUAAAAAUUAUAUGAUAGUUUUACUCCCUCCAUGUUGUGGAAAAAAGUAUAUUGGCCACAAAAUAAUCAUCCUCUUACUCUUUGUGCUAUCAGAAGUUCACCAACCACAAUUGAAUCCCUAAAUGCCUAUUGGAUUGGAUGACAGGCAAGACCAUAUUCAAUUGCCUUGUAUAGAACCACCCCAAAAAGAUUCCACCACAUAUUUGAUCGGGCACUAGAAUUCUAUCCACAACAGAUCAUUCCAGGUUUUAGUUAUCAACUAAAGGCAUGGUGACACAAUGAAAUGUAAAAUGCUCCUUUGAAAGCUAUCUUUGCCAGGUUUUUUGCAUUGAGCAAUUAGAGCUUCUUGAAGUCCAGGAUAGGGUAGAAGACUCUUAUUAAAAAGCAAAUUUGUACCUAAGGACUUUAUGAAGAGAAAUUUAUAGGAUCCAGAUCUGCAAGUUGGUGUCAAAUCUGUACAUUUCCCUAUUGGUUUAUAGCUUGCAGUCCUUGAAUGUUUAACUCAAUGGUUCUUAUUCUGAAUUACUUUACCUUUUUUUUUUAUAUAGAAGUUGUGGUAUCUUUUUUAAUACUUGACUCUAAUACUUAAUUCAAUAAACAAUGUAGUUGUAAAAGAUAAAACAAAAUUGAAUUUUAGGUGCUUUGCAAGCAAGAGACCACUGUAUCCUAUGAUAAUGUUAUUUUAUCAUGUUUUGUACCUUACAUUUCUCCUUGUUUUACUUACCUGAGAGGAUACCUUGAACACCUUGAAAGAAAAGGCAAAAGAGCCUUCAAUGACAAGCCAAAACCAGAGCCAACUACUGAAGUACUUUUUCUUUGCAGCUAUGAUGGCUGUGAAAGACAUUCAUAGAUGCUGGUGCUUUGAGGAAGCAUUCUCACAUCCAUGGAGAGAAACAAUAUGUUUGUCACUACGAGGGAUAUGGAAAGGUGGUGACUUUGUUACUUACAGAUGCGCAAAACUAAGAAAUUUUUGGAUAGCUCAUAGUUGAAAAGACAUUUUCUCAUUCAUACAGGGGAGAAGGAUUUUGUGUGUCCUCAUGAAGGCUGUGGUAAGGUUUUGUUUUUGUUUUCUAUGAUGGCGUCCUUUCCCUAGUUGGUGUUGCAUUUUCUGUUUUUAGUUCUAUAUGGUUUACACGUUAGGAUUUGUGGCUAUUUCUUCCCUUCACGGAGAUUAUCAUCAAUUCAGUCUUUUACUGUCCACUCUGAAUCUGUUUUGGUUGGAAUGGUUUUCUUAUUGGAAAUUCAAAUAACAAGGGAUUUCAAGCAGAGCUUGAGUUCUUGGUGAUGAGACCUAUGUCUACCUAGUCAUUAAAUUGUUGCUAUAGAGGGCAUCCAACGAAUUUGAAAAUUUAUCAAGUUGAAUCAAUAUAUAAGACAAAUGUUGUUAUAUAGGUUACCAUUUUCAUCACGGUACAUAAGAAUAAAUUCAA